CAUCUUUGCAAUUUCCUGCAAGUUUAAAAGUUAUUCUUAGAACAGCCUUUAUAAGCUUUCAUACAUGAAGAAUAAACAUGCUGCAUCAUGGCGCAAAUCAUGCGGAGAGAAUGAGGAGUGGACCCAAACGCAGACAACUGAGAGAUAGGUGGAGGAUAACAAAUGCAAUCCUUUAUUUGGGCUGCACAACAACACUAUAAACAAAAAGCAAGGGGGAAUUGAGAACACUAACAAAAGCUAAACUGGAAACAGCUAAACUAAAGAACAUGAAGAACAAAGCAAAACUUGACAACCGAGAAUUAGGAACCUGAAGCAUGGAAACAUAGAGGAAGAAACACGGGAUGAAGAACAGAAUGAUGAACAGACAAUCUGACGAGGAACAGAGGUAAAUACACCCUAAAUAUACACAAGCAGGAAAACGAGAGGAUGGGGAACAGGUGAGAACACAGCUGGGAUUAAUCAGACAUGAUGAGAUGGGGAGGAGAGCAAAACUGAAGACACUGACACAAGACACAGACUGUCAAAGUAAAACAGGAAAUACAAGAGAGACACGAAGACGCAGAUUCGACACUUAGACAUGGAAACAUGAGACGAGGCGAGCACUGAACCAAACACACAUCUCUGUGGGUCAACAUGCUACAAUCCAAAAGAGCACCACUGCUGUGAAAGAAACCAAAAGCCUCACUGGUUCUGCACCUCAGGUCAAAGCAAGGCAACACCCACUGUAUAUAAUCCACACAUACAAGUCUGCUGUGAUGGAUGUAUGUCUACGUGGAAGCCUUGGAUGGAUCAGUGCUGUGGAGAGACACCAUAUGGCUCGGGACAACGCAGAGUUCUCUGUUGUAAUAACACCUUGUAUGAGGACAGAGACGAUGGAGAGGAAUGUUCUGGCACGGGUAUUCCUUACAAUCCGGCUAAAGGGACCAUAUGUUGUUCUCAGUUUCACGGCAGCCCAGGACAACACUGCUGUGGGACAGAAAUUUACCGGCCUGAUGUUGAGAUUUGCUGCAAUGGACACAGGACAUUUGCUGCUCAAGUGAGGACAAAGAGGUGAUCUACUCUGCCAAGACAGGGUUCAAAUGCUGUGGUCACCUCUAUUACAACACCGCCCUGUGGUCAUGCUGUGCUGGGAGGCUGAGAUCAAUCCAUGAACCAGGACAGGGUCGAAGAAAGAUGAUUAAUGAAUCCAAAGUCCUAUCUGUGAAUAAUCUGAACAAAACAGAUCUUUGCCAAAAAAUUUACAUUGGGACUGUGGAAAGUGUGUCUCAGCAGAGCGUUGUGUUUGGGAAUGUGCUGAAGGUUCAUGGUAUGAAGACCAAAGUGAAAGCUCUGCCUUUUCCUUACAUCCUGGAAACAGAUGAUCGCUGCAGCUCCCCUAAACUGAUUCUUGGGAAGACCUACUUCUUUAACAAAGUUAAUGUUUUCACUGACUUCAAUCAUGACUCUGUUCUUCAGUCACUCCAUGUCAUUAUUUGCAAAUGUUCACCUUAG
Oreochromis aureus is the source of this 1491-nucleotide long non-coding RNA. The record is from Ensembl. Lineage: Eukaryota; Metazoa; Chordata; Actinopteri; Cichliformes; Cichlidae.